RNAcentral lists this transfer RNA (84 nucleotides) under Albidovulum sp. RNAcentral's name for it is "tRNA-Leu". It matches the Rfam family "tRNA". Rfam says of the family: Transfer RNA (tRNA) molecules are approximately 80 nucleotides in length. Their secondary structure includes four short double-helical elements and three loops (D, anti-codon, and T loops). Further hydrogen bonds mediate the characteristic L-shaped molecular structure. tRNAs have two regions of fundamental functional importance: the anti-codon, which is responsible for specific mRNA codon recognition, and the 3' end, to which the tRNAs corresponding amino acid is attached (by aminoacyl-tRNA synthetases). tRNAs cope with the degeneracy of the genetic code in two manners: having more than one tRNA (with a specific anti-codon) for a particular amino acid; and 'wobble' base-pairing, i.e. permitting non-standard base-pairing at the 3rd anti-codon position. The record is from RNAcentral. Lineage: Bacteria; Pseudomonadati; Pseudomonadota; Alphaproteobacteria; Rhodobacterales; Paracoccaceae. RNAcentral also lists the same sequence under 1 other name.
GCCCGAGUGGCGGAACGGUAGACGCAGCGGAUUCAAAAUCCGUCGCCGCAAGGCAUGCGAGUUCGAGUCUCGCCUCGGGCACCA